This 690-nucleotide ribosomal RNA is filed under the name Triticum aestivum (bread wheat). RNAcentral's name for it is "partial small subunit ribosomal RNA". The record is from RNAcentral. Lineage: Eukaryota; Viridiplantae; Streptophyta; Magnoliopsida; Poales; Poaceae.
AUGGUUUUCCCAGGAAGGGGAAGGAUCCGUGUCGAUGCUAACAGUGUUCAGAGCGUAUUUGAUCUCCCAAACAAGGGUCCAAAAGUCAGAUAUUUAGUUGACAAGGAUGCCACUAGGAGAUUCAGACAGGCUUUCAACAUAACCGGAAAUUCUCAUCCCCAGAUCACUACAUGGCUCAAGAUGAUUGAGCAUAUGGCUGGAAGAAUGGAUGACACAUUCUUUAUGGCCUGGCUUGCGAUACUAUACCUUGAUGCGCUCGUACAUGACAUCCCAGUAAGAAACUGCGCGAUACGAUCGAAUGCAUGGGAUAGUACUCUAAUUGCCAAGGUGAUCAAGAAGGAUACUAUCUCUCCUGGUGUGUUCGGCAAAUUACAACUUAAAGAGGAGUAUAGAGGCACGGAGCAGACACCACUGUUUGGUGGAAUUUUGCAAGCUGAAGCAUUUGUGGCAUCCAAGUUACCAAUAACAUACAAUCCGCAGAAAAAGGCAAAAAUUGCGAAAGUGGUCAAUGAGCUAUGCAAGGCUGUAACUGAACAGGUUGGCACCUUCAUUGAAGAAGUUGCCAAGAUUGAUGACGAGGAACCAGAUAUUGAUCCUUACGAGAUGCCCUGGUCCUUGAACCCUUACGAAGAUCAAACUCUUAUCAUGGUGACGGGUUCUGCGAUGCACCAUCUUUUGACCUCGGCAUAG